This is a small nuclear RNA of 155 nucleotides. Its record names the gene U1. It matches the Rfam family "U1 spliceosomal RNA". From Rfam's summary of the family: U1 is a small nuclear RNA (snRNA) component of the spliceosome (involved in pre-mRNA splicing). Its 5' end forms complementary base pairs with the 5' splice junction, thus defining the 5' donor site of an intron. The record is from Ensembl.
AUUCUUACCUGGCAGGGGAGCUACCGUGAUCAGGCCGAGGCUCAGCCGUUGUACUUUUGUACUUCAGCAGUGUUGACCCCUGUGAAUUCCCCAAAUGUGGGAAUCUCAACUGCAUAAUUUCUAGUAGUGGGGGGCUGCGUUUGCUCUCUUCCCUG